This 127-nucleotide small nucleolar RNA is filed under the name Leptotrombidium deliense. RNAcentral describes it as "small nucleolar RNA SNORA73 family". The record is from RNAcentral. Lineage: Eukaryota; Metazoa; Arthropoda; Arachnida; Trombidiformes; Trombiculidae.
GCUACAGUGUCGCAGAUAGUCAGAGCCUCGCUUUUCGGCUGAUGGCUUAAGUAAAGUAUAUUCCAUAACCUUUUUGUAGCGGUAUUUACUGCAGUGAUCAUUUAGACAGACCAUACUUUACACAAUU